CAACGCAAAGAACAUUGCUCGGCCAGUCGAAUCGGGUUUUAGCCUAUCCAAGCAGUCCGACCCGACAAAAAUUUCAAAACCCUAGCUGCCAUUUCUGUUCUCCAUCAUAAUACUAUAUAUACAUCCCAUAAAAACCCUAGCUAAACACCGCCUUCUGUGAACCUCACUGUGUCUCUCACUCUUCUACUGUCCAGCUCCAAAAGGCAGCGGAAUUUGAAGAAAAUGCCGCUUGUACCUCAAGAUUUGUUGCUCUUUCGGCACCUUAACAUAUUUUGACAAUUGGAGCUUGAAGAAUCAAGGCUGGAAAGUGUCAAGGUGGAACCAGAUGCAAAAGAUCAAUUAAUUUGGGGGGAGUCAACACAUGGACAAUACUCUGUUAAAAUUGGCUAUAUCAAUGCUUACAAAACUGACAGAACAGUGGAUGUUUGGACAUGGAAGUCGAUGUGGAAGAUUAAGAUACCAGUCAAUCCGCUGUUGCUUGCUUUUGGUUGGACAGCCAUUCUUGAAAGAUGCUUGACGCACGACAACCUAAAUAGAAGAGGAUUUUAUCUGCGCAGCAGGUGCUACAUGUGUCAAAAAGAUGCAGAAGAUAUUCCUCACCUUCUACUCCACUGUGAAGUAGCUAGAGAGUUAUGGAGCGGGCUCUUAAGUAUUUUUUGGGUUCACUGGAUGCCGCCCUACAACAUUAGAGAUGCCUAUGCAAUCCGGGGUCUUUGGAGAGUUAGGAAUCUCUUGUAGGAAAUCUGGUUAAUCACUCCAGCCUGUAUAUUUUGGUGUUCGACAGAAAGGAAGUACAGAUGCUUUGAUGGAGUUCUAACUCCUAAUCACUCCCUCAAACCUAGGUGUUUGACUAAGCUUUUUCGCUGGUGCAAUCUGCACAAUGUAAAUAGCAUAGAGCACAUUGAUUUUGUUAGCUCCGUGAGCCUUAUUUAAGAACUCAAUGAAUGUGUAUUGGAGCUAAUCUUGUAUUUUGCUCUGCAUCCUCUAGAUGCUUAUCAAUGAAAUGCUUUAUCUAAAAAAUAAUUGGAGCAUGAAGUA
Long non-coding RNA from Nicotiana tabacum (common tobacco), 1038 nucleotides. RefSeq lists it as uncharacterized. The record is from RefSeq and is a predicted model, not a curated record. Lineage: Eukaryota; Viridiplantae; Streptophyta; Magnoliopsida; Solanales; Solanaceae.